AGAGUUUGAUCAUGGCUCAGGACGAACGCUGGCGGCGUGCUUAACACAUGCAAGUCGAGCGAGCCCCUUUCUUCGGGAGGGUGUGCUAGCGGCGAGCGGGUGAGUAACACGUGGGCAACCUGCCCUCAGCUCUGGGAUAACUCCAAGAAAUUGGGGCUAAUACCGGAUAUGACUGCUGACCGCAUGGUCUGGUGGUGGAAAGAUUUAUCGGCUGGGGAUGGGCCCGCGGCCUAUCAGCUUGUUGGUGGGGUAGUGGCCUACCAAGGCGACGACGGGUAGCCGGCCUGAGAGGGUGACCGGCCACACUGGGACUGAGACACGGCCCAGACUCCUACGGGAGGCAGCAGUGGGGAAUAUUGCGCAAUGGGCGAAAGCCUGACGCAGCGACGCCGCGUGGGGGAUGACGGCCUUCGGGUUGUAAACCUCUUUCAGCAGGGACGAAGCGGAAGUGACGGUACCUGCAGAAGAAGCACCGGCCAACUACGUGCCAGCAGCCGCGGUAAUACGUAGGGUGCAAGCGUUGUCCGGAAUUAUUGGGCGUAAAGAGCUCGUAGGCGGUUUGUUGCGUCGGCUGUGAAAUCCCGAGGCUCAACCUCGGGUCUGCAGUCGAUACGAGCAAACUAGAGUGUUGCAGGGGAGACUGGAAUUCCUGGUGUAGCGGUGAAAUGCGCAGAUAUCAGGAGGAACACCGGUGGCGAAGGCGGGUCUCUGGGCAACAACUGACGCUGAGGAGCGAAAGCGUGGGGAGCGAACAGGAUUAGAUACCCUAGUAGUCC
Molecule: ribosomal RNA, 776 nt
Filed under: uncultured bacterium
Lineage: Bacteria
Description: bacterial SSU rRNA
Rfam family: Bacterial small subunit ribosomal RNA
Source: RNAcentral